UAUAUAUUUAUAUACUGUAUAUGAAGUCCAUAUAACCAUAAGAAAUGCAAAAAUUCGCUGUUAAUAACACAUUCUCGAAUUGUCCUCUUUAAAAAUCAAAUUGCCCCUAUGUAGGGCGUGCACCCCACAUUGGGAACCACUGAUCCACAAGUCCAAGAAUUUAAACCAUUUGUUCAAAUGUAUUUGCAUUGCAACAGCAUGUCACAGACAAAUGAUGACAUUACAGAGAACAUUGUGUAAUGUAUCUUCCCAAAUUGAAAAUAUUUCAGUCUUGAUAGCUUGUCUAAGAUCAGGAAGUGUUCACAGAUUAUUCACAAACACUAUCUUUCAGAUAACUCCAAAGAAAAAUGUUGCAGGGAUUUUGAGGUGAUAGUAAUGGCUAUGCUAUAUCUUUACCACACACUUUGGAAUAACAAUUUAACAGUACAUGGUCAUCAAACAUCAUCUCUUGGUAUUCCAGGAUGAUUCCUGCCAUAUGACGCCUGAUGCCAUCCUGCUGGAACUAAUACAUAUCCAUACUGAUACUCAUAACAAACAAAAAGAGCACAAAUUAAUCCCUGAUAACAUCAGAUAUGCAUCACUUGUGAUGUUUCCAUUAAUAAACACUGGCUCAAAAAUUCCACAUGCAGACAUCAUCUACCAAGCAGUCACUCUGUUUGGUAGGUGAUGUCUGGUUUUGCAUGUAAAUGGUUAUUAAUAAUAAUAUGAGCUGUUUUUGUUGAAAGUGAUGUAAGUCCAUUUUAUAUUAUAUAGAGAUAUUUAAG
Molecule: long non-coding RNA, 764 nt
Filed under: Androctonus crassicauda
Lineage: Eukaryota; Metazoa; Arthropoda; Arachnida; Scorpiones; Buthidae
Source: RNAcentral